UACAGGGGGGGCAAGCGUUGUUCGGAAUUACUGGGCGUAAAGGGCCAGUAGGCGGCCAACUAAGUCACACGUGAAAUCCCCAGGCUUAACCUGGGAACUGCGUGUGAUACUGGAUGGCUUGAAUUCGGGAGAGGGAUGCAGAAUUCCAGGUGUAGCGGUGAAAUGCGUAGAUAUCUGGAGGAAUACCGGUGGCGAAGGCGGCAUCCUGGACCGACAUUGACGCUGAACGGCGAAAGCUAGGGGAGCGAAACAGGG
Molecule: ribosomal RNA, 255 nt
Filed under: uncultured bacterium
Lineage: Bacteria
Description: partial 16S ribosomal RNA
Rfam family: Bacterial small subunit ribosomal RNA
Source: RNAcentral